This 75-nucleotide transfer RNA is filed under the name Acaryochloridaceae cyanobacterium RL_2_7. RNAcentral's name for it is "tRNA-Ser". Lineage: Bacteria; Bacillati; Cyanobacteriota; Cyanophyceae; Acaryochloridales; Acaryochloridaceae. The record is from RNAcentral.
GGACGCAUAGCUCAGUUGGUUAGAGCACUACGUUGGACAUCGUAGGGGUCUCCCGUUCGAGUCGGGAUGUGUCCA